GAUGAACGCUAGCGAUAGGCUUAACACAUGCAAGUCGAGGGGCAGCAUGAUCUUAGCUUGCUAAGGUCGAUGGCGACCGGCGCACGGGUGCGUAACGCGUAUGCAACUUGCCUUACAGAGGGGGAUAACCCGUUGAAAGACGGACUAAAACCGCAUACACUUGUAUUAUUGCAUGAUAUUACAAGGAAAUAUUUAUAGCUGUAAGAUAGGCAUGCGUCCCAUUAGCUGGUUGGUGAGGUAACGGCUCACCAAGGCGACGAUGGGUAGGGGAACUGAGAGGUUUAUCCCCCACACUGGUACUGAGACACGGACCAGACUCCUACGGGAGGCAGCAGUGAGGAAUAUUGGUCAAUGGGCGAGAGCCUGAACCAGCCAAGUCGCGUGAAGGAAGACAGUCCUAAGGAUUGUAAACUUCCUUUAUACGGGAAUAAACGGG
RNAcentral lists this ribosomal RNA (436 nucleotides) under Porphyromonas gingivalis. RNAcentral describes it as "bacterial SSU rRNA". It matches the Rfam family "Bacterial small subunit ribosomal RNA", at positions 28 to 454 of the family's 1533-position model. The record is from RNAcentral. Lineage: Bacteria; Pseudomonadati; Bacteroidota; Bacteroidia; Bacteroidales; Porphyromonadaceae.